This is a microRNA precursor of Cebus imitator (Panamanian white-faced capuchin), 131 nucleotides long. NCBI's taxonomy places the organism in Eukaryota, Metazoa, Chordata, Mammalia, Primates, Cebidae. The record is from Ensembl.
CGGCUAGAGGUGUGAGGAUCUGGCUCCAGGGUUGGGGGGUGGAGGCGGCUCCUGCGAUCGAAAGGGACUUGAGACUCACCGGCCGCACGCCAUGAGGGCCCUGUGGGUGCUGGGCCUCUGCUGCGUCCUGC